Long non-coding RNA from Gavialis gangeticus (Gharial), 453 nucleotides. RefSeq lists it as uncharacterized. The transcript has 3 exons. The record is from RefSeq and is a predicted model, not a curated record. Lineage: Eukaryota; Metazoa; Chordata; Crocodylia; Gavialidae.
UGCAUUUGACACUGGCAGAUCAAGAAUGUCACAUGCCAAAUACUCAUAUGAACAAUAUAUAAACAACAACAAGCAUUAGUGCCCGUGACUUUUCAGAGAUAAUGACCAGCUGCUCUUCCAGCAACAUCAGCCAACUCCCUCAGCACCCUUGGGUACAUGCAUUUGACCUCAUGGACACAUCCAGCUUUUCCAAAUACUUCCUAACCUGUUCUUUUGCAACUGUUGGCUGCCUACCUCUUCUGCAAACUGUGCUGCCAGAUACAGUAAUCUGCAAGCAGACCCUGCCUGUGAAGACUGAGGAGGACCGGGGGGAGGCAGGGGAAGAGGACCAUGCACAGGUGCACUUGCACCUGCCUUUGAUUCCUGGUUCAUCCAAAGAUUAAAACCAACUACUUGGCAGUGGCAGCAGAAUGCCUAAAGGAAAGUGCUGAGGAAGUCAAUUGACUUCAUGGC